GGGGGCGUUCUUGGAUUCGACGGGGAUAGUUUGAGCAUCGGUUGCGGGUAGUGGGGACGCGUCCGCUUCAUCAACGCUAAAGCCUAUUAAAUGGCAACCAACGUACAACUUUAGCAGCAGCUUAAUAACCUGACUGUUAAGCUUCUACCAAGCAUCGCCCAUGUGCUAGGAUAGGGGCUCACUUUAGUGGGAUACGCUGUAAGGUCUCCGCCUGGGGUCUUGCAGAAGAAGACAAUCAGGCUGACCCAACGAGUAGCGGGUUACAGCGCGACUCUCGGGUGACAUCAAAUCUGUGACUACACCCGUAGAAGCCGGUGUGGCGAUAUUUUCGGACAGGGGUUCGACUCCCCUCGCCUCCAUAC
RNAcentral lists this transfer-messenger RNA (362 nucleotides) under Paenibacillus swuensis. It matches the Rfam family "transfer-messenger RNA". Rfam says of the family: Bacterial tmRNA, also known as 10Sa RNA or SsrA, is named for its dual tRNA and mRNA-like properties. Its role is to liberate the mRNA from a stalled ribosome. The record is from Rfam by way of RNAcentral. Lineage: Bacteria; Bacillati; Bacillota; Bacilli; Caryophanales; Paenibacillaceae. RNAcentral also lists the same sequence under 1 other name.